CAGCAGUUAAACUCUACUAUUAAGGG
This 26-nucleotide transfer RNA is filed under the name Diadema savignyi. RNAcentral describes it as "partial tRNA-Lys". Lineage: Eukaryota; Metazoa; Echinodermata; Echinoidea; Diadematoida; Diadematidae. The record is from RNAcentral.